This 269-nucleotide ribosomal RNA is filed under the name uncultured prokaryote. RNAcentral's name for it is "partial 16S ribosomal RNA". It matches the Rfam family "Bacterial small subunit ribosomal RNA", at positions 524 to 792 of the family's 1533-position model. The record is from RNAcentral.
GACGAAGGUGACGAGCGUUGUUCGGUAUUACUGGGCUUAAAGCGUGUGUAGGCGGAAUUGUAAGCGUCAGGUGAAAUCCCCCGGCUUAACCGGGGAACUGCUUGACGAACUGCGUUUCUUGAGGCAAGUAGGGGUGCACGGAACUCUUGGUGGAGCGGUGAAAUGCGUAGAUAUCAAGAGGAACGCCGGUGGAGAAAUCGGUGCACUGGGCUUGUCCUGACGCUGAGACACGAAAGCGUGGGUAGCGAACGGGAUUAGAUACCCUUGUA